This 253-nucleotide ribosomal RNA is filed under the name uncultured bacterium. Its description in RNAcentral is "partial 16S ribosomal RNA". It matches the Rfam family "Bacterial small subunit ribosomal RNA", at positions 524 to 776 of the family's 1533-position model. The record is from RNAcentral.
UACGAAGGGGGUUAGCGUUGUUCGGAAUUACUGGGCGUAAAGCGCGCGCAGGCGGUCUUCCAAGUCAGUGGUGAAAGCCUGGAGCUCAACUCCAGAACUGCCAUUGAAACUGUUAGACUUGAGUACGAGAGAGGUGAGUGGAAUUCCCAGUGUAGAGGUGAAAUUCGUAGAUAUUGGGAAGAACACCAGUGGCGAAGGCGGCUCACUGGCUCGUAACUGACGCUCAGGCGCGACAGCGUGGGGAUCAAACAGG